AUUGAACGCUGGCGGCAUGCCUUACACAUGCAAGUCGAGCGAACAGACGAGGAGCUUGCUCCUCUGACGUUAGCGGUGGACGGGUGAGUAACACGUGGAUAACCUACCUAUAAGACUGGGAUAACUUCGGGAAACCGGAGCUAAUACCGGAUAACAUGUUGAACCGCAUGGUUCAACAGUGAAAGACGGUCUUGCUGUCACUUAUAGAUGGAUCCGCGCCGCAUUAGCUAGUUGGUAAGGUAACGGCUUACCAAGGCAACGAUGCGUAGCCGACCUGAGAGGGUGACCGGCCACACUGGAACUGAGACACGGUCCAGACUCCUACGGGAGGCAGCAGUAGGGAAUCUUCCGCAAUGAGCGAAAGCCUGACGGAGCAACGCCGCGUGAGUGAAGAAGGUCUUCGGAUCGUAAAACUCUGUUAUUAGGGAAGAACAAAUGUGUAAGUAACUAUGCACGUCUUGACGGUACCUAAUCAGAAGGCCACGGCUAACUACGUGCCAGCCGCCGCCGUAA
Molecule: ribosomal RNA, 513 nt
Filed under: uncultured bacterium
Lineage: Bacteria
Description: partial 16S ribosomal RNA
Rfam family: Bacterial small subunit ribosomal RNA
Source: RNAcentral